Molecule: long non-coding RNA, 473 nt
Organism: Girardinichthys multiradiatus
Lineage: Eukaryota; Metazoa; Chordata; Actinopteri; Cyprinodontiformes; Goodeidae
Exons: 3
Source: RefSeq, a predicted model, not a curated record
GAAGCGCUGACGCGUCGCUACAUCUAAUGCAGAAAGCUAGCUUGUAAUUGUUGGCACAGUUGGUCAAGAAUGGUUCUCUUACCGGACUAUCUUGAACUUCUUGAUAAAGCCAAUGAAACUGAAGGCGAAUGUGUUAAAGACAGCGAGCCUCGGCCAUCUGACCCAACCAGUACCCUUCCUGCUGGACCCAAUAGACAUCUCACAGUCCAAAGCAGACAGCCCCGUCCAGCCAAGACUGUAUGCCACACAUCUCCUCAGACACUACAAGGAGCAAGGAUGAGAUCAUUUAGUGACACUUGGUCACUCAUGCAAAUCAGUCAUGCAAAUGGUUGGAAUAUUCAGCGAGCCAAGAUUCAUGUUUUUGUUAUGCGUCUCAAAUGUCUCUCAAUCUGUCUUUACCUCCAUGUCUGGUUUCCACAGUUGGAAAAAAGCCUUUUUCAAAGAUGCAGGCUUAAAGCUUCAUUGAAAGUCCA